CCGAGAGGCUAGGGCUGCCUUAGGUAGACCAUUACCCCUUGAGUGGGAUGUUCGAGGAAAGACGUACAAGGAAAUUGGUGAAUAUUCUCAUCAUUUGUCUCGGGAGAUCGGCCUUCUCAUUCGACAAUAUGUCGAUCCCGACUAUGAUCGAUGGGAUAAAGUACCAAAGGAAGUUAGGGAUCGAAUAUUUCCUCGUCUACAGGAUGAUUUAUUCGAUAUUGGUCUCACUCGGUAUGGGGCAGAACAUCGAAGUGGCAUUCUUCUCGGCAUUCAACGAUCUUGCGCUGAUCGUUACUCAGAAUGGAAGAAUGAUAUAUCUACUCACAUAAAGAAGCAUGGUCGGAGACAUGCUCCUGAUGGUUUGGUAGAAGAAAAAUGGAAGAAGGCGCUUGAUUAUUUUGAUCGACCUGAAGUGAAGAGGCGCUCUGAGAUUAAUGCUGCGAAUCGAGCAAAACAAAAA
Long non-coding RNA from Humulus lupulus (European hop), 460 nucleotides. RefSeq lists it as uncharacterized. Lineage: Eukaryota; Viridiplantae; Streptophyta; Magnoliopsida; Rosales; Cannabaceae. The record is from RefSeq and is a predicted model, not a curated record. The transcript has 3 exons.